UGUAAGCGUAUACCAAAGUUGUUGCAGUUAAAACGCUCGUAGUCGGAAUUUGGCAGUUCCGGAUGUGUGCACGUCGUGUGCGCACUUCGCGGGGAUUGCUUUUGUGGUCUUGCGUAGGAUGAGGCACUUUUAUUAGUGAACGUCCUCACGCAACCACUUUUUACUGUGAGAAAAUCAGAGUGCUCAAAGCAGGCAUUUGCCGUGAAUGUAUUAGCAUGGAAUAAUAGAAUAGGACUUGGUUCUAUUUUGUUGGUUUGUUGGGACUGAGUAAUGAUUAAGAGGGACAGUUGGGGGCAUUUGUAUUUCGGUGCUAGAGGUGAAAUUCUUAGAUUACCGAAAGACAAACUGCUGCGAAAACGUCUGCCAAGGAUGUUUUCAUUGA
Molecule: ribosomal RNA, 382 nt
Filed under: uncultured eukaryote
Lineage: Eukaryota
Description: partial 18S ribosomal RNA
Rfam family: Eukaryotic small subunit ribosomal RNA
Source: RNAcentral